This 73-nucleotide transfer RNA is filed under the name Streptococcus pneumoniae. RNAcentral describes it as "tRNA-Val(tac)". It matches the Rfam family "tRNA". From Rfam's summary of the family: Transfer RNA (tRNA) molecules are approximately 80 nucleotides in length. Their secondary structure includes four short double-helical elements and three loops (D, anti-codon, and T loops). Further hydrogen bonds mediate the characteristic L-shaped molecular structure. tRNAs have two regions of fundamental functional importance: the anti-codon, which is responsible for specific mRNA codon recognition, and the 3' end, to which the tRNAs corresponding amino acid is attached (by aminoacyl-tRNA synthetases). tRNAs cope with the degeneracy of the genetic code in two manners: having more than one tRNA (with a specific anti-codon) for a particular amino acid; and 'wobble' base-pairing, i.e. permitting non-standard base-pairing at the 3rd anti-codon position. The record is from RNAcentral. Lineage: Bacteria; Bacillati; Bacillota; Bacilli; Lactobacillales; Streptococcaceae.
GGGAGUUUAGCUCAGCUGGGAGAGCAUCUGCCUUACAAGCAGAGGGUCAGCGGUUCGAUCCNGUUAACUCCCA